AAUUGCCUUUCACCUCCUGCCAUGAUUCUGAGGCCCCCAGCCAUGUGGAACUGGAGAAGGGAGAUGAAAUAAUACCAGCAUCCUGAACCUGAAUGUCCAGCUUCGCCUUGUUCUUUGUGGAUUAUAAGACCAUUGAUUAAAUAAAUCCUUUCAUCAAAAUUAUCUUAAAAAAGAAACUACCAUCUAAAUCCAGUUAUUCCAUCUGACUUGGUAGCAGUGAUGUUUGGAGUUUAGGACCUAAAGGUGAAAUGGGGAAAAUCUGGGUGCUCGGAAAGACACCAGAAGCACACAGAAGAAGAUCAUAUGAAGACACAACAAGAAGGUGACUAGCUGCAAGCCAAGAAGAGAAGCCUCAGAAGAAAUCAAACGUACUAGCACCUUGAUCUUGGAAUUCCAGUCUCCAAAGCUGCGAGAAAAUAAAAUUCUGUUGCUUAAGCUGCCAA
Homo sapiens (human) is the source of this 443-nucleotide long non-coding RNA. RefSeq lists it as uncharacterized. Lineage: Eukaryota; Metazoa; Chordata; Mammalia; Primates; Hominidae. The record is from RefSeq and is a predicted model, not a curated record. The transcript is spliced from 4 exons.